Molecule: small nucleolar RNA, 104 nt
Organism: Lemur catta (Ring-tailed lemur)
Lineage: Eukaryota; Metazoa; Chordata; Mammalia; Primates; Lemuridae
Product: small nucleolar RNA U13
Exons: 1
Source: RefSeq, a predicted model, not a curated record
AUCCUUUUGUAGUUCAGAAGCCUGAGGAUUAGAUUUUCAUACGCCUGUGUGAGCUGUGCCUCCCUCAAACCUUAUUACGAUGUCAGCACAUUGCCCAUCUAACA